CUGUAUGCAACACAACCACAACAAAAAUAGUCUUUGGUGCUGCGCUAACACUGGCGAGACUCCCCACCUUCUGAAAAAUGAGCAGUUCUGGUAAUGUGCAGAAUUCAACGCAGCCCAUGAAAUAGAAAACAGCACAGAGUUGGACGUUUAUGUGUCGAUGGUAAAACAAGGUUAUUGUUUGUGCUUGGAUGCUGAUGGGCUACUUCUUCUAUUACCUUUACAGGAAGCAGGUUCUCCGGUGGAGCCCAGAGCUGCUUAAUGAGAUGACGGAGAAACGUCCAGGACGUGGUUUAAAUGUGUGUGAAGGACGUUCCCCUGUGAGCAGUGUAGAUACUGUAUGCAGCACUGGGAUCAGUGGGUUACAGGUAAUGAAGCGACUGAGCUCCAUCCAACAGUGGUUCUAUUAAAACCAGGUGAAAUCCAUCAGGAGCGGCCGUUCACACAGACUCCAUUAAUCUGUCUCUAUGUACUGCUGCUUCUUUUAUUGACUCCCGUUUGAUUCUGCUGCUUCUUUGCCAGUGGAGUCAGUCCAGUGUGUGUGGCGGCCUGGCUGCUGCUAUCUGACUGGUGCCAAGCGCCAACACUUGAGCUUUUUAUGGUCAGAAGCUGCUGUGGAGUGUGAACGUGUUGAGCAGCUCAGGGAACGUGUCCAGGUAGUUUCCCCAGCGCUUCAUGGACAUGCACUAAUCAGCCACGAGACUUCCACCACCUGGUGCAGAGAGAGGCUCGGCCGCUGGCAAAGCACCGGUGAGUCCCAUACACCAACUUAAACAAGAGAGUUAAUGUCAGUUACAGCUGACUACGUGUCCUAUGAACGUUAUUGGAGGUAAGUGUGGUUCUGUUCAGACACGGCAGGGUUAGGGUUAGGGUUUUUUCAUGAGGCUGUGUUAUUAUAGACUAGGUAGUUUACAUUUACCGCUGAUGCCAUAUUAUGUGGCAUUUUAUGCGAUGAUCAUGUAUAUUAAAUAUGGGAGACUCGUCGACCCGAUGAUGAACCUGAGAGCCGCCCUCGUGCCUCGAACUGAACCUGCCUCCUCAGGUCCCGUCCUCUGGUUUCUCUUGGUUUGUAUGUGUGGGAGCACGUGAUGGCUUGCUGGGCAGCGCAUGUUCUCCAGCCUCUGCUUUCACGUCCACUGGUGGAGUGGCGCCUCCUGGCCAUAAAUCCUCCUCAGGUUGUAUUACGGCGUUUGGCACCCACGUCUCCGGGGGAACGGGACACUCAUUGCUGCGCCAUAUUUUUUGUGAUAUUGAUUAAGUUGUAAAUGUGUUUAUGAUUUUUAGCUUCAGUAAAAGCCUUGCGACAGAUGAGGUGGUGAUAUAAAUUAAUGUUAUUGAUGUUCACACUGUAAGCUUGUGUGUGCCAGCCACUCAGCACACAGUGGCAGGUCCAGCCCAGACGUAUGAGGCUCACUGAUGCAGGUGUUUACUAGAACGCGGCCGCGUGCGUGUGCUGCUUUGUGAAGGUUGUGAGAGCUCAUUGAGCAGAGCAUCGCACGAUAACAGUGGCAGAUGUAGCAGCGCAAAGCGAAUCGAUCUCCUGUAUCCGUAUGCAGAAGUUGUGAGUAAUCUAUUUUUACUGAGCUAGUUCUGUUUCACUCCUAAGAAAUCCUAAUGUUUUCAUUUUGGCCUUUGAAGCGAUGUUUCUAUAAUAAACAACGCGCCACGCGAGCGUUGACCUUUUAC
Long non-coding RNA from Betta splendens (Siamese fighting fish), 1683 nucleotides. The record is from Ensembl. Lineage: Eukaryota; Metazoa; Chordata; Actinopteri; Anabantiformes; Osphronemidae.